This 490-nucleotide ribosomal RNA is filed under the name uncultured bacterium. RNAcentral's name for it is "partial 16S ribosomal RNA". It matches the Rfam family "Bacterial small subunit ribosomal RNA", at positions 30 to 507 of the family's 1533-position model. The record is from RNAcentral.
AUUGAACGAGGGAGGAAGGAAGAACACAGGCAAGUCGAACGGUAACAGGAAGCAGCUUGCUGCUUUGCUGACGAGUGGCGGACGGGUGAGUAAUGUCUGGGAAACUGCCUGAUGGAGGGGGAUAACUACUGGAAACGGUCGCUAAUACCGCAUAACGUCGCAAGACCAAAGAGGGGGACCUUAGGGCCUCUUGCCAUCGGAUGUGCCCCGAUGGGAUUAGCUAGUAGGUGGGGUAACGGCUCACCUAGGCGACGAUCCCUAGCUGGUCUGAGAGGAUGACCAGCCACACUGGAACUGAGACACGGUCCCGACUCCUACGGGAGGCAGCAGUGGGGAAUAUUGCACAAUGGGCGCAAGCCUGAUGCAGCCAUGCCGCGUGUAUGAAGAAGGCCUUCUGGUUGUAAAGUACUUUCAGCGGGGAGGAAGGGAGUAAAGUUAAUACCUUUGCUCAUUGACGUUACCCGCAGAAGAAGCACCGGCUACCUCCGUG